AUCCAGCUGACGAGUCCCCAAAAGGACCAAACGCGCUUCCUGAAU
Molecule: non-coding RNA, 45 nt
Organism: Schistosoma rodhaini
Lineage: Eukaryota; Metazoa; Platyhelminthes; Trematoda; Strigeidida; Schistosomatidae
Source: Rfam